UAACGCGUGAGGAACCUGCCUCAAAGAGGGGGACAACAGUUGGAAACGACUGCUAAUACCGCAUAAGCCCACGGCUCGGCAUCGAGCAGAGGGAAAAGGAGCAAUCCGCUUUGAGAUGGCCUCGCGUCCGAUUAGCUAGUUGGUGAGGUAAUGGCCCACCAAGGCGACGAUCGGUAGCCGGACUGAGAGGUUGAACGGCCACAUUGGGACUGAGACACGGCCCAGACUCCUACGGGAGGCAGCAGCGGGGAAUAUUGCACAAUGGGGGAAACCCUGAUGCAGCGACGCCGCGUGGAGGAAGAAGGUCUUCGGAUUGUAAACUCCUGUUGUUGAGGAAGAUAAUGACGGUACUCAACAAGGAAGUGACGGCUAACUACGUGCCAGCAGCCGCGGUAAGACGUAGGUCACAAGCGUUGUCCGGAAUUACUGGGUGUAAAGGGAGCGCAGGCGGGAGAACAAGUUGGAAGUGAAAUCCAUGGGCUCAACCCAUGAACUGCUUUCAAAACUGUUUUUCUUGAGUAGUGCAGAGGUAGGCGGAAUUCCCGGUGUAGCGGUGGAAUGCGUAGAUAUCGGGAGGAACACCAGUGGCGAAGGCGGCCUACUGGGCACCAACUGACGCUGAGGCUCGAAAGUGUGGGUAGCAAACAGGAUUAGAUACCCUGGUAGUCCACACCGUAAACGAUGAUUACUAGGUGU
RNAcentral lists this ribosomal RNA (696 nucleotides) under uncultured bacterium. RNAcentral describes it as "bacterial SSU rRNA". It matches the Rfam family "Bacterial small subunit ribosomal RNA", at positions 111 to 823 of the family's 1533-position model. The record is from RNAcentral.